UACAGAGGUCCCAAGCGUUGUUCGGAUUCACUGGGCGUAAAGGGUGCGUAGGUGGUCGGAUAAGUUUGAUGUGAAAUCUCGGAGCUUAACUCCGAAACUGCAUUGAAUACUAUCUGGCUUGAGGGUCGGAGGGGGGACUGGAAUUCUCGGUGUAGCAGUGAAAUGCGUAGAUAUCGAGAGGAACACCAGUGGCGAAGGCGAGUCCCUGGACGACUCCUGACACUGAGGCACGAAAGCUAGGGGAGCAAACAGG
Molecule: ribosomal RNA, 253 nt
Filed under: uncultured prokaryote
Description: partial 16S ribosomal RNA
Rfam family: Bacterial small subunit ribosomal RNA
Source: RNAcentral